UCCAUAUUAUAGAGCGGAUAUGCAAACGGCAGAGUGCGCAUGUACCCAUUACGGUAGCGGAUUUCGGAACAGCAGACGGGCGUACGUCCCUACAGCUACUCAACAAUGUUAUCGCCACAACACAAGAGCUGUCUGGGGUGGCCAAGCCUGUCAUGAUAUAUCAUGAGGACCAGACCAACAAUGACUUUACCUUGCUGUACCGGGUUAUUCAAGGUACAGAAGACGAAGGACAAGGUGGGCUCAAGCUGUCGUCUAAUGUAUUCCAGGCUGCUGUUGGGAGGUCAAUGUAUGAGCAAUGCCUCCCAAACAACUCCGUUGAUAUAUCAUUCUCAUCUAUAGCAGCGCAUAACUUGUCCAGAAG
This is a long non-coding RNA of Pecten maximus, 361 nucleotides long. RefSeq lists it as uncharacterized. The record is from RefSeq and is a predicted model, not a curated record. NCBI's taxonomy places the organism in Eukaryota, Metazoa, Mollusca, Bivalvia, Pectinida, Pectinidae. The transcript has 3 exons.